GCAGUUUAACACGAUGGCCUCCAGCAGCUUCAGACUACUGCUUUUAACUCUCUGCUGGGCAGGAGCUCGCAGUCAGACUCUGACUGAGUCUGAUCCUGUGGUCAAAAAGCCAGGAGAGUCCCACACAUUGACCUGUACAGGCUCUGGAAUCACACUGAGAAGCUACUGGAUGCACUGGAUCAGACAGGCUCCUGGGAAAGGACUGGAGUGGAUUGCCUGGCACGACAGCCACAGUGGUAGUGGCAGAUCUUACUCUGAGUCAGUCCGGGGCCGCUUCACCAUCUCCAGAGACGACAGCAGAAAUCAGCUGCUUCUGCAGAUGAACAGUCUAAAAAUGGAAGAUUCUGCUGUUUAUUACUGUGCCGGAGAGACACAGUGUGUGAGCUUAGUGUUACAGCUGUACAAAAGCUCCUUUAAUAUGGAGUACUUUUCCAGCAACAGAAUAAAUAAAGUGUGA
This is a non-coding RNA of Salarias fasciatus (jewelled blenny), 457 nucleotides long. NCBI's taxonomy places the organism in Eukaryota, Metazoa, Chordata, Actinopteri, Blenniiformes, Blenniidae. The record is from the annotation of a RefSeq genome assembly.